CCUUGCCUGCUCUGAUGGUGCUUCAGGCGAAAAUGUUGAUCCAGCAAAUUAGAUCAUUUUGGAAGCCAGAUUAGGUCAUGUGGUGUGCAUACCUCAUAGCAGAGGCAGCCUAAACAGAUCUGGAGGCAUCCACCUGUAGAAUCAGGGAUCUAAUUUUCGCUUACACCCCAGAGCGGGUGUUUA
Molecule: non-coding RNA, 183 nt
Filed under: Nitrospirota bacterium
Lineage: Bacteria; Pseudomonadati; Nitrospirota
Description: 6S / SsrS RNA
Rfam family: 6S / SsrS RNA
About the family: E. coli 6S RNA was the first non coding RNA to be sequenced, but its function was unknown until recently.
Source: Rfam by way of RNAcentral